GUAGGGCCUGAUGUAAACACCCGAGCCGGGCUCCAAGGCCCGGGAGGUCAGAAAACCGGGCCGCGGGCGGCACCGACAGCUGGGGCCCGGGUCAGGGACACGCGGAGGUCAGGCCGGUGAAGGCGGCAGGAAGCUGGAGCACGAUCCCAGGGUUGAGGAACAAUCCUGCACCAUGACUCAACAGCCACUUCGAGGAGUGACCAGCCUGCGUUUCAACCAAGACCAAAGCUGCUUUUGCUGCGCCAUGGAGACAGGUGUGCGCAUCUACAACGUGGAGCCCUUGAUGGAGAAGGGGCAUCUGGACCACGAGCAGGUGGGCAGCAUGGGCUUGGUGGAGAUGCUGCACCGCUCCAACCUUCUGGCCUUGGUGGGCGGUGGUAGUAGUCCCAAGUUCUCAGAGAUCUCAGGUAAGUGCCCUCAUCCUGCCCUUUGGCCCAGAUUUCUCGGAUUCCUGGCCUCCCACAGGCACCCCAAGGUACUGGCAGAUGAAGA
RNAcentral lists this unclassified non-coding RNA (492 nucleotides) under Homo sapiens (human). RNAcentral's name for it is "WD repeat domain 45 (ENSG00000292221.1)". Lineage: Eukaryota; Metazoa; Chordata; Mammalia; Primates; Hominidae. The record is from RNAcentral.